RNAcentral lists this ribosomal RNA (506 nucleotides) under uncultured bacterium. RNAcentral describes it as "partial 16S ribosomal RNA". It matches the Rfam family "Bacterial small subunit ribosomal RNA", at positions 29 to 523 of the family's 1533-position model. The record is from RNAcentral.
AGUGAACGCUGGCGGUAGGCCUAACACAUGCAAGUCGAACGGCAGCACAGGAGAGCUUGCUCUCUGGGUGGCGAGUGGCGGACGGGUGAGGAAUACAUCGGAAUCUACUCUGUCGUGGGGGAUAACGUAGGGAAACUUACGCUAAUACCGCAUACGACCUACGGGUGAAAGCAGGGGACCUUCGGGCCUUGCGCGAUUGAAUGAGCCGAUGUCGGAUUAGCUAGGUGGCGGGGUAAAGGCCCACCAAGGCGACGAUCCGUAGCUGGUCUGAGAGGAUGGUCAGCCACACUGGAACUGAGACACGGUCCAGACUCCUACGGGAGGCAGCAGUGGGGAAUAUUGGACAAUGGGCGCAAGCCUGAUCCAGCCAUACCGCGUGGGUGAAGAAGGCCUUCGGGUUGUAAAGCCCUUUUGUUGGGAAAGAAAUCCAGCUGGCUAAUACCCGGUUGGGAUGACGGUACCCAAAGAAUAAGCACCGGCUAACUUCGUGCCAGCAGCCGCCGUAA